AGAAAGAGCAGUGCUGGACAGAGAGCUUAGCCCUGCAAGACCUCUCCCGUGAUCACAUCUAGGGAGUGUAAGCUGGAUUUGUUGGGGAAAAGAGCAGGCACCCCUACCACAGCCUCCUGGACUGGAGAGGCCCAACCUGCCCAACCUCAGCUCAACCUGGAGUGCCGGCCACACUGGACACGUCCAGUCCUGUUGCAUAACUUCUUGCCCCUCCCCCAUAGUACGUGUCUGUAUGUCUGAGAGCCAGCUAAGCACCCAUCCUCCCCAGAAGGGAAGUCUGAGGAUUGAUAACCUCAACCUGAACCCGAACCUGCCCCAGCCUUUCUCCACUUCAGCCUGCCAGCAGCUUCCAGCUUUGGCUUCACUCAUUUUAUUCAUAGCCUCAUUCCAGCAACCCCUGGGCACCCCAGGAGAUGGCCCCUCACCACCCCUGUUAUGGGAUUCUGCUUCAAUCACACAAUUAAUCAACAGGAAACCCAAAUCCAGACCCAAUGGAGAAAAUAAAGGGAAAGGAGAUCAACUAUUCCAAAGGCCAGAUCAGCUCAAUGCAAUGAAGGAAGGAGGAGGAUGCAGGCUACACCAGAAUCCUGGGUUCUCAGCUGGACCACACACAACAGAUUGGAGGCAAGAAGAGUGGCAGAGGUGUUGUUAAUUUCCUGCCUCAUCAAGCAUGGCUCACGAAUACGGCAGCUUAAAUCCCCAGCAGCAGUAGGAGCUGGCAACAGGCAACCUGCUGUAAGGGAUAAAGAUGGCAAGGUCUGAGCACCAGGGACUUGGAUGGACAGAGGUCAAAGAGGUUUCCCGGGCAGCUGAAAGACUUCCAUCCACUUUGGAUUUGAUCAUCUCACCUUGUAUUUGUCCGUGAUCCCAAACACUAAUCCUGCAAUCUACUGUGUCAUAAGAGAUUGUCAUCACUGGAGCCCUGAGCCAGCAGGUAAGAAGUCUGAUAGAAGCUUGCCAUGCUGUGAGGAAGCCAAGUCACACAGGGAGGCUGCAAGAAGGUGCUUGAGUUGGCAGUAGCAGUCUUCAAGUCCUCCUUUCCAAGUGCCAAAUAUAUGAGUGAACAAGUUCUCAGAUGACUGUAGCCCCCAGCUACUGAGUCAACCCCAGACAUGGGGGAGGGGAAGUGCAAGCAAGCCAUCCCCAUUGUUCCCCUUCUGAAUUCCUGCCCCAAAGCAUACAAACAAACAUAUUGCAUUGCACUUCUGUGUUUGAGGGAAUGUUUAUUAUGUAGCAAUGGUAACCUGAACAAUAUGGAAAAAUGGGUAUUAUUUCUUAGGUGUCAAAACAAGUGUCUAACUUUCCUCCACAAGAGUCAAUACCCAUCAACAGCUUUUAUCUCUGACAAAUCUCUCAAAUGUAAACAAACAAA
Molecule: long non-coding RNA, 1372 nt
Organism: Bos taurus (domestic cattle)
Lineage: Eukaryota; Metazoa; Chordata; Mammalia; Artiodactyla; Bovidae
Source: Ensembl